GACAGAGGGUGCAAACGUUGCUCGGAAUCACUGGGCAUAAAGCGCACGUAGGCCGUGCACUAAGUUCGAUGUGAAAUCCCCCGGCUCAACCGGGGAACUGCAUCGGAUACUGGUGCACUCGAGAGUUGUAGGGGUGGACGGAACUCCAGGUGGAGCGGUGAAAUGCGUAGAUAUCUGGAGGAACACCGGAGGCGAAAGCGGUCCACUGGGCAACUUCUGACGCUGAGGUGCGAAAGCUAGGGUAGCAAACGGG
This 253-nucleotide ribosomal RNA is filed under the name uncultured bacterium. Its description in RNAcentral is "partial 16S ribosomal RNA". It matches the Rfam family "Bacterial small subunit ribosomal RNA", at positions 524 to 776 of the family's 1533-position model. The record is from RNAcentral.